AGUGAACGCUGGCGGUAGGCCUAACACAUGCAAGUCGAACGGCAGCACAGUAAGAGCUUGCUCUUACGGGUGGCGAGUGGCGGACGGGUGAGGAAUACAUCGGAAUCUACUUUUUCGUGGGGGAUAACGUAGGGAAACUUACGCUAAUACCGCAUACGACCUACGGGUGAAAGCAGGGGAUCUUCGGACCUUGCGCGAUUGAAUGAGCCGCUGUCGGAUUAGCUAGUUGGCGGGGUAAAGGCCCACCAAGGCGACGAUCCGUAGCUGGUCUGAGAGGAUGGUCAGCCACACUGGAACUGAGACACGGUCCAGACGCCUGCGGGAGGCAGCAGUGGGGAAUGUCGGGCAAUGGGCGCAAGCCUGAUCCAGCCAUACCGCGUGGGUGAAGAAGGCCUUCGGGUUGUAAAGCCCUUUUGUUGGGAAAGAAAAGCAGCAGGUUAAGACCCCGCUGUUCUGACGGUACCCAAAGAAUAAGCACCGGCUAACUUCGUG
Molecule: ribosomal RNA, 492 nt
Filed under: uncultured bacterium
Lineage: Bacteria
Description: partial 16S ribosomal RNA
Rfam family: Bacterial small subunit ribosomal RNA
Source: RNAcentral